AUUAGCUAAACACAAAUAUAAUCAUGAAUUCAUGGAAUUAUUCCUCAUCAGACAAAGUGUUUCACUCAAUCACUCAAGUGUUUCAAACAGUUACUCCAUCCCUCUACCAUCCACAUGUCACAUAGAACAAAAUUGUCUUUCAUUUGCCACAAUCAAACAUCAUCACAUACACAUGUCAUCACAAGGACUUUUCAAGGCUUAUAAUAUAGUUGGGCUAACAAGGAAAAUUGGUUUUUCUAGAUCACAAAAUCCUUGAGUUAAGAGAGUCAUUCAAAUAAUUAUGGUUCAAGCACAAACUCUCUUUUUACCAAUCUCACUCAUUCCCAACUUUCCCUUUUCUUCACAUUAGCUUUUCUUUUCAUGCUUAUCUUUUCUAUCUUUUCUUUCUUUUCUCAUGCAUUUUCAUUCAACACAUUAGCUCAAUGCCUAACUUUUUUUUUUCUUUUUCAAUUCUCCCAUAACCCCAAACUUGAACCUUUCUAUAAAUUCCUUGUUGUAAAAACCGCAACCAUUAUAGUGCAUUUGCUUUCGGGUGGAAGGACACUGGAUGUAGGCAUUGUUGGCCGAACCAGUACAAAAACUUGUGUUUGAAUUUCUCUAUCCCUUAUCUUUUACAUUCCAGUCGACUCUAUUUCUAACGUAGUCUACUACGUUUUUUCCGCUGCAUACAUUUUCUGAUUGCUUGCAUUUCAAGAAACUUUAAAAAGCUUUAUACUUUGAUUGAAAGAUUGCAAAAAGAACAUAUUUUUGAAACAUCACCAAUUCACCUCCCU
This 773-nucleotide long non-coding RNA is filed under the name Vigna radiata. RNAcentral describes it as "long non-coding RNA (VRAD_LNC009252)". The record is from RNAcentral. Lineage: Eukaryota; Viridiplantae; Streptophyta; Magnoliopsida; Fabales; Fabaceae.